ACCUUGAUAGGACAGAAAUUAUAAAAGAACACCAAAAGCUGGAGAAAAGUAAGUGGUACAGACUCUUUUAAAGAAAACAAUUCAGUUCCGUCAGCUACUAUUUUAUAAAAAAUGAUAAACGGAUACGACUAAGAGAUCGAAUUUGUGAACGAUUCGUACCAAGCAAUAAAUAAAGUUGUCGCUUGUAUACCAAAAGCAAUUAUGGUGUGGUAAGAAAAGAGAAUGUAACAAAAAACAAGGCGGAACUGGUAAAGAGAUAAAUUAUGGAAGGUUAUAAACGGUGGGCAAUCGAUAUCUUUAUAAGGAUAAAUCUUAUAGUGUAGUGACAAUAUCGCGAAUCGGUAUCCUUACAUUGUGAAUGUACAAUGUCCAUUCUAACUCGUAAUUUCUGCAACGUAACUAGCUACUGUUAGUAACAACAACCGGAAUUUUCGGAUUUGAAUUAAUUAAGCCUCAAGUGAUCUCCAUCUUGGUAUGGCCGAUUCACAAAUUUACCAUACCAACGAUGUGUACUGAAAGCGUAAAGUACUAACACACAAUUAAUUCAAUGGGUCAAGCACAUCAUGUAAGUGACGACGUAGCCCAAAACUAUUCCAUUCAUAGCACGCCAUCUAUCAAAGAACUUGAACAAAGAAACUAGUACAAAAUUUUGAUUUUCAAAAGCGGUUAAUUGAUAAGUUACUUGCUGUAAAUCAUAUUGGCCAAAUCGUGAAAUGUACGUACUGCUAACAUUGCGCACGCAAGUAAGAAAAAGUGGGGACAAGAAGCAGAGGUAAAUCAAUUAUUCAAGAAUGUAAAUAUUGACCCGUUCGAUCAUCUACAGCUUUUUUUUUAUGAAAAUCACGUUAUUAACAA
Molecule: non-coding RNA, 855 nt
Organism: Schizosaccharomyces pombe (fission yeast)
Lineage: Eukaryota; Fungi; Ascomycota; Schizosaccharomycetes; Schizosaccharomycetales; Schizosaccharomycetaceae
Source: the annotation of a GenBank genome assembly